RNAcentral lists this ribosomal RNA (437 nucleotides) under uncultured Chloroflexota bacterium. RNAcentral's name for it is "bacterial SSU rRNA". It matches the Rfam family "Bacterial small subunit ribosomal RNA", at positions 879 to 1330 of the family's 1533-position model. Lineage: Bacteria; Bacillati; Chloroflexota. The record is from RNAcentral.
AGUGCGGCCGCAAGGUUAAAACUCAAAGGAAUUGACGGGUUCCCGCACAAGCAGCGGAGCGUGUGGUUUAAUUCUAUGCUACGCGAAGAACCUUACCUGGACUUGACAUAUAGGUGGUAGGGAUCCGAAAGGUGACCGACCCUCCGGGGAGCCUAUACAGGUGCUGCAUGGCUGUCGUCACCUCUUGUCGUGAGAUGUCCGGUUAAUUCCGGUAACGAGCUCAACCCUUGCCGUAUGUUAUACGUGUCAUACGGGACUGCCGAUAUAAAAUCGGGGGAAGGAGGGGAUGACGUCAAGUCAGCAUGGCCUUUAUGUCCAGGGCUACCCACACGCUACAAUGUUCCAUUUCAAUUUGUUGCAAAGCCGCGAGGUGGAGCCAAUCCUCAAAGCUGGUCUUAAUUCGGAUUGCAAGCUGCAACUUUCUGCAUGAAGCCGGA